UACGGGGGGGGUAAGCGUUGUUCGGAAUUACUGGGCGUAAAGGGCUCGUAGGCGGCCAACUAAGUCAGACGUGAAAUCCCUCAGCUUAACUGGGGGACUGCGUCUGAUACUGGAUGGCUUGGAUUCGGGAGAGGAAUGCGGAAUUCCAGGUGUAGCGGUGAAAUGCGUAGAUAUCUGGAGGAACACCGGUGGCGAAGGCGGCAUUCUGGACCGAUAUUGACGCUGAGGAGCGAAAGCCAGGGGAGCAAACGGG
This 253-nucleotide ribosomal RNA is filed under the name uncultured bacterium. RNAcentral's name for it is "partial 16S ribosomal RNA". It matches the Rfam family "Bacterial small subunit ribosomal RNA", at positions 524 to 776 of the family's 1533-position model. The record is from RNAcentral.